RNAcentral lists this ribosomal RNA (372 nucleotides) under uncultured bacterium. Its description in RNAcentral is "bacterial SSU rRNA". It matches the Rfam family "Bacterial small subunit ribosomal RNA", at positions 523 to 898 of the family's 1533-position model. The record is from RNAcentral.
AUACGUAGGGGGCGAACGUUGUCCGGAUUUAUUGGGCGUAAAGGGUACGUAGGCGGCCAUAUAAGUCAGAUGUGAAAGGCCAAGGCUUAACCUUGGUUAGCAUUUGAAACUGUGUGGCUUGAGUUAAGGAGAGGAAAGUGGAAUUCCUGGUGUAGCGGUGAAAUGCGUAGAUAUCAGGAGGAAUACCAGUGGCGAAGGCGACUUUCUGGACUUAUACUGACGCUGAGGUACGAAAGCGUGGGGAGCAAACAGGAUUAGAUACCCUGGUAGUCCACGCCGUAAACGAUGGGUGCUAGGUGUCGGGGGUCAAACCUCGGUGCCGCAGCUAACGCAUUAAGCACUCCGCCUGGGGAGUACGUUCGCAAGAAUGAA